RNAcentral lists this ribosomal RNA (429 nucleotides) under Verrucomicrobiota bacterium. RNAcentral's name for it is "Verrucomicrobia bacterium partial 16S ribosomal RNA". It matches the Rfam family "Bacterial small subunit ribosomal RNA", at positions 355 to 776 of the family's 1533-position model. Lineage: Bacteria; Pseudomonadati; Verrucomicrobiota. The record is from RNAcentral.
UAGGGAAUCUUCCGCAAUGGACGAAAGUCUGACGGAGCAAUGCCGCGUGAGUGAAGAAGGAUUUCGGUUCGUAAAACUCUGUUGUUAGGGAAGAAAAAAUGUAUAGUAACUAUAUACAAAAGAGACGGUACCUAACCAGAAAGCCACGGCUAACUACGUGCCAGCAGCCGCGGUAAUACGUAUGUGGCAAGCGUUGUCCGGAAUUAUUGGGCGUAAAGCGCGCGCAGGUGGUUUAGAAAGUCUGAUGUGAAAGCCCACGGCUCAACCAUGGAGGGUCAUUGGAAACUAAUAAACUUGAGUGCAGAAGAGAAAAGUGGAAUUCCUAGUGUAGCGGUGAAAUGCGUAGAGAUUAGGAGGAACACCGGUGGCGAAAGCAGCUUUUUGGCCUGAAACUGACGCUGAGGCGCGAAAGCGAGGGGAGCAAACAGG